RNAcentral lists this ribosomal RNA (375 nucleotides) under uncultured eukaryote. RNAcentral describes it as "partial 18S ribosomal RNA". It matches the Rfam family "Eukaryotic small subunit ribosomal RNA", at positions 592 to 976 of the family's 1831-position model. The record is from RNAcentral.
CAAUAGCGUAUAUUUAAGUUGUUGCAGUUAAAAAGCUCGUAGUUGGAUUUCGGUUAAGAGCGACCGGUCCGCCGUUUGGUGUGCACUGGUUGGUUUUAACUUCCUGUAGAAGACGUGCUCUGGGUUUAACGACCUGGACUCGGAGUCUACGUGGUUACUUUGAAAAAAUUAGAGUGUUCAAAGCGGGCUUACGCUUGAAUAUUUCAGCAUGGAAUAACACUAUAGGACUCCUGUCCUAUUUCGUUGGUCUCGGGACGGGAGUAAUGAUUAAGAGGAACAGUUGGGGGCAUUCGUAUUUCAUUGUCAGAGGUGAAAUUCUUGGAUUUAUGAAAGACGAACUUCUGCGAAAGCAUUUGCCAAGGAUGUUUUCAUUAA